GACGAACGCUGGCGGCGUGCUUAACACAUGCCAGUCGAACGGAAAGGCCCUGCUUGCAGGGUGCUCGAGUGGCGAACGGGUGAGUAACACGUGGGUGAUCUGCCCCUUACUUUGGGAUAAGCCUGGGAAACUGGGUCUAAUACUGGAUAGGACCAUGCUGUAGGUGGUGUGGUGGAAAGAUUAGUUUCGGUAAGGGAUGAGCUCGCGGCCUAUCAGCUUGUUGGCGGGGUAAUGGCCUACCAAGGCGUCGACGGGUAGCCGGCCUGAGAGGGUGGACGGCCACAUUGGGACUGAGAGACGGCCCAGACUCCUACGGGAGGCAGCAGUGGGGAAGAUUGCACAAUGGGCGCAAGCCUGAUGCAGCGACGCCGCGUGGGGGAUGACGGCCUUCGGGUUGUAAACUCCUUUCAGCCAUGACGAAGCCCUUGUGGUGACGGUAGUGGUAGAAGAAGCACCGGCUAACUACGUG
Molecule: ribosomal RNA, 469 nt
Filed under: uncultured bacterium
Lineage: Bacteria
Description: partial 16S ribosomal RNA
Rfam family: Bacterial small subunit ribosomal RNA
Source: RNAcentral